UCCCUGGAGGACUAGUGGUUAUGCCACAGCGCUCUCACUGCUGUGGCAUGAGUUUGAUUCCUGGCCAGGGAA
This 72-nucleotide transfer RNA is filed under the name Pangasius djambal. RNAcentral describes it as "tRNA-Glu". It matches the Rfam family "tRNA". From Rfam's summary of the family: Transfer RNA (tRNA) molecules are approximately 80 nucleotides in length. The record is from RNAcentral. Lineage: Eukaryota; Metazoa; Chordata; Actinopteri; Siluriformes; Pangasiidae.